This 256-nucleotide ribosomal RNA is filed under the name uncultured bacterium. RNAcentral describes it as "partial 16S ribosomal RNA". It matches the Rfam family "Bacterial small subunit ribosomal RNA", at positions 524 to 776 of the family's 1533-position model. The record is from RNAcentral.
UACGUAGGGUGCAAGCGUUGUCCGGGAAUUAUUGGGCGUAAAGAGCUCGUAGGCGGUCUGUCGCGUCGGCUGUGAAAACUCGGGGCUCAACUCCGAGCUUGCAGUCGAUACGGGCAGGCUAGAGUUCGGCAGGGGGAGACUGGAAUUCCUGGUGUAGCGGUGGAAAUGCGCAGAUAUCAGGAGGAACACCGGUGGCGAAGGCGGGUCUCUGGGCCGAUACUGACGCUGAGGAGCGAAAGCGUGGGGAGCGAACAGG